GAUGAACGCUGGCGGCGUGCUUAACACAUGCAAGUCGAACGGAAAGGCCCAAGCUUGCUUGGGUACUCGAGUGGCGAACGGGUGAGUAACACGUGGGUGAUCUGCCCUUCACUUCGGGAUAAGCCUGGGAAACUGGGUCUAAUACCGGAUAGGACGAUGGUUUGGAUGCCAUUGUGGAAAGUUUUUUCGUUGUGGGUUGAGCUCGCGGCCUAUCAGCUUGUUGGUGGGGUAAUGGCCUACCAAGGCGUCGACGGGUAGCCGGCCUGUGAGGGUGUAGGGCGACAUUGGGACGUAGAUACGGCCCAGACUCCUACGGGAGGCGGCAGUGGGGAAUAUUGCACAAUGGGCGCAAGCCUGAUGCAGCGACGCCGCGUGGGGGAUGACGGCCUUCGGGUUGUAAGCUCCUUUCGCUAGGGACGAAGCGUUUUUGUGACGGUACCUGGAGAAGAAGCACCGGCUAACUACGUG
Molecule: ribosomal RNA, 468 nt
Filed under: uncultured bacterium
Lineage: Bacteria
Description: partial 16S ribosomal RNA
Rfam family: Bacterial small subunit ribosomal RNA
Source: RNAcentral